UACAGAGGGUGCAAGCGUUGUUCGGAAUUAUUGGGCGUAAAGCGCGUGUAGGCGGCUUAAUAAGUCGGGUGUGAAAGCCCUCAGCUCAACUGAGGAAGUGCGCCCGAAACUGUUUAGCUUGAGUGCCGGAGAGGGUGGCGGAAUUCCCCAAGUAGAGGUGAAAUUCGUAGAUAUGGGGAGGAACACCGGUGGCGAAGGCGGCCACCUGGCCGGUAACUGACGCUGAGACGCGAAAGCGUGGGUAGCAAAC
Molecule: ribosomal RNA, 250 nt
Filed under: uncultured bacterium
Lineage: Bacteria
Description: partial 16S ribosomal RNA
Rfam family: Bacterial small subunit ribosomal RNA
Source: RNAcentral